Odontomachus brunneus is the source of this 679-nucleotide long non-coding RNA. RefSeq lists it as uncharacterized. The record is from RefSeq and is a predicted model, not a curated record. NCBI's taxonomy places the organism in Eukaryota, Metazoa, Arthropoda, Insecta, Hymenoptera, Formicidae. The transcript has 3 exons.
AAAAGCGCGUCGUCACAAUGCGAGAAUAUUGAUGGAUCGCGAUCACAUACUGCCGGCCGUAGUCGUUUGUUAUUCAAUAACAAAAGCGGACUGAGUUAGCAGCGAGGCACUUUCAUGCAAACUGUCACGGGAAUGCCUCCGCAACCAAAACAAGACCAAAACAAUAAAAAUCAGGAAUUUAUGUAUAAGAAAUCUGUCAGAAGUCUUGCAGAUUGGGAUUUCUAGGGAUGUCGUUCAGUGGACACGGAUGCCGAAGUAGCUAGUUUGAACUGAAUGAAGUCGGCUUGAAUCUGCAAAAUUGUAUUUUCUAACGGAACGAGAAUGGAGAAUUUGGAUCGAAAAUCACGGGGAGUGAAGGAUGCACACGAUGAAGUGAUAAAAAAUAGACUGCCAGGAACUCGAAAAAAAAAAUGUCAAGUAUCUUAAGAUUAUUUAAAUAGAAUAAUUGAACUUUUUUUCAUACAAUAAGAAAUGUAAGUAGAACAACUUUUCUUUUUGAAACAAAACAUAAAUUAUUUGAGCUAAACAAUAAAAUUGCUUGAAAAGCUAAAUAAUCGCACACUGAGAGAAGAAUUUAAUAAAUAUUAUCAAAAUUUAGUUACUAUUACUAAAUGGUAGACGUAAAUAUAGCGGGCCAAAGCUAUGGCAAUACUUAUUAAUUAAUUUAGUUCUGUAAAAU